This 468-nucleotide ribosomal RNA is filed under the name uncultured bacterium. Its description in RNAcentral is "partial 16S ribosomal RNA". It matches the Rfam family "Bacterial small subunit ribosomal RNA", at positions 28 to 507 of the family's 1533-position model. The record is from RNAcentral.
GACGAACGCUGGCGGCGUGCUUAACACAUGCAAGUCGAACGGAGAGGCCCUGCUUUUGUGGGGUGCUCGAGUGGCGAACGGGUGAGUAACACGUGAGUAACCUGCCCUUGACUUUGGGAUAACUUCAGGAAACUGGGGCUCAUACCGGAUAGGAGCUCCUGCUGCAUGGUGGGGGUUGGAAAGUUUCGGCGGUUGGGGAUGGACUCGCGGCUUAUCAGCUUGUUGGUGGGGUAGUGGCUUACCAAGGCUUUGACGGGUAGCCGGCCUGAGAGGGUGACCGGCCACAUUGGGACUGCGAUACGGCCCAGACUCCUACGGGAGGCAGCAGUGGGGAAUAUUGCACAAUGGGCGGAAGCCUGAUGCAGCAACGCCGCGUGCGGGAUGACGGCCUUCGGGUUGUAAACCGCUUUCGCCUGUGACGAAGCGUGAGUGACGGUAAUGGGUAAAGAAGCACCGGCUAACUACGUG